GCAAUUCAGGGGGUGCGAGAAGUGACUGCUGAUCUGAAAGGGAUGCAUACAUUGAAAAAGGUUAAGAACCAUUGGCCUAGAAGGAGUCCACUCUCGUCUAACCACCACGGUACACCGUGCAGAUCAUUGCGUGGGAAGCAUUACAGCACCUUCCACAGACCCCACUGUCUCACCUUCUGCUUCCCUUUUACCUGUGCAGCGCGUCUCCGUCAGGCAGAUGGACAUUCCUGUGACGUUUUAAGGCGUCCACCUCCACGAAGAGAGCACAGCCCGCCCCCUCAGACGCUCAGCAUUCAUUUAAAUUCAUUGGGAAAAGAGUUGAGGAAGAAAGUAGCGGACGCAGAGUGUGGAGACAUGA
Scylla paramamosain (green mud crab) is the source of this 358-nucleotide long non-coding RNA. RefSeq lists it as uncharacterized. Lineage: Eukaryota; Metazoa; Arthropoda; Malacostraca; Decapoda; Portunidae. The transcript has 3 exons. The record is from RefSeq and is a predicted model, not a curated record.